UUCAAAGUAUAUUUCCUGAACUGAGGCAUAUAAAUAUGAUCCUAUAAUGUUACUCAACACCAACCUCCCUGGAAAACGUAUCCACAGAUAGAAGAUAAAGAUGAAGCUGCUGAUCCUUUUAAUCACCAUAGCUGUUGCAGCUGCUAGUUAUAGUAAAAUCGGAAAAGGUUAUGGAGGAUAUGGUGGCAUGGGAGGUGGUGGAUACGGCGGAAUGGGCGGCAUGGGAUACGGCAGAAUGAUGUAUGGAGGCAUUAGAUAUGGAUACGGCGGUA
This is a long non-coding RNA of Mytilus trossulus (common blue mussel), 272 nucleotides long. RefSeq lists it as uncharacterized. The transcript is spliced from 3 exons. NCBI's taxonomy places the organism in Eukaryota, Metazoa, Mollusca, Bivalvia, Mytilida, Mytilidae. The record is from RefSeq and is a predicted model, not a curated record.